CUCCCUUGCGAAAAGCAAGGACCAGCUGGAUCAGUGCUGAGCACGGAACUGGUCUGUAUGUCUGGUCUGCUCCUGAGGGAAACAUGAAGGUCUCUCUGGUUGCCCUCCUUGCUCUCCUUGUUGCUGCUUUCUGCUCCCAAGCCUGCUCUGCUCCAGCUGCCCCUGACACAGCUGUGUGCUGUUUCAUGUACACUUUGCAGAAGCUUUCCAGGAAAUAUGUGAAGGAAUAUUUCUAUACUACCAGCAGAUGCCAGCAGCCAGCAGUUGUCUUCAUCACCAGGAAGAAUCACCAGGUCUGUGCUGACCCAAAUGCCAGCUGGGUGAAGGAAUUGGUGAACUUCUUGGAGAUGCACUGAGAGGACGGUCACCGCGUGACUCCCAGGUGCUCCAGCUUUGGAUUUUUAGAGUGCCAGGAACAAUUUCGGUGUCAUGAAUGACUCACCCCAGCUCAUUGGAGCCCCAGUAGGCCUCACUGGGCCUGAGCAGCCCUUCUCACCUGACCUUACUCUGGAAAAGCAAGCUCAUGCCUCAGUUUCCCCAUCUGUAAGAGAGGGAUAGCAAUGCUUAAAAGCUUUCUGUGAAACAUUCAUGGUGACACUGCAUGAAAGCAAAAUGCUAUGUGCAUUUUUUUGAUUAUUCUCAUGUUCUGUCUGAUUUUAUUUCCCCCCCUGCUUCCCUCUGUGGCUAGGCUUGGUUACAGGAUCCCCCUUUUCUCCUACCACAGCAGGCUGUAUCAGAGCUGCUCUGCAGGUAUGCAGAACAAAGUCUUGCACCUCUUCCCUCACAUUCAUCUACCUGCCAAGCCUAUAAAGCGUUUGGGUUCCCUCAGGACCUCCUCUGGGGCAUCCCUCUAACACCUCAAGUGAAGGGGUGAUAUACUGAGGUAUUUCAGGUGCGCUGUUAACUGGUGAUUUUCAGCUUUGUUCUGUAGACACUGUUUCAAGCUGACAUUAAGG
Long non-coding RNA from Dromaius novaehollandiae (emu), 956 nucleotides. RefSeq lists it as uncharacterized. The record is from RefSeq and is a predicted model, not a curated record. The transcript has 3 exons. NCBI's taxonomy places the organism in Eukaryota, Metazoa, Chordata, Aves, Casuariiformes, Dromaiidae.